GAAAUGGAGCAGAAACACCUGGGGAUGGGGUUUGCCCCUCAUUUCCUGCUGGGAGCCAGCAAAGCCCAGCACUGCCCAACUUUUAGGGCUGCUCCAGCGUUUUCAGCUGCCCCUUGGCACUGGACUCCUCACCCCAAGGCAUGACCCGGAUCGGGGAAGCUGAUCGCAGGGAGGCAGGGGAUGUCUGAGUGACUCGCGUAGCCUGGAAUUGCUCCCUGGCUAAUUAAGAGGGACGGAAAGAAGAGUGGCAAGAAGCAAGGCUUGAGGAAACCUAAUGCUUCCGUGAUCCCGUGGGAACAUCCCAGCGCUUGGAAGGACUGUGCUGCCACACAACGGGACCAUAAAUCAGGCAGGAGCUGGGACCGGCUCUGGGCUGUUGGUAGUACUCCUGGGCUUGCAAACACAGAUUAAAACUGGUAGCGUGUAGUGAUAAUCUCCAGCCAUAACUGCCAAUGUCUUGAGUCAAUUACUGACCUGGUCACUCAUGGCCAGCUCCAGCCCAAAGAGAUUGGACUUAAAACCUUUAAAAACCCAAGGAAGGUCACCAAUUGUGAAUGGUGAGAUGCAUAAGGAAAUGCGUUUUGAAAUUAAGAUAAUUCUGAUAGCAACAACCAGACAAAUCAGAAACCUGUCAACAGGAAGCCCUGCUUGGCUUCAACUGUUACCCGAGCGAGACUGAUGUAUUUUAAGCAGUAAGAACCAGCAUAUGUCAUCAUAUCUUAUAGAAAAGUGUACACAUGAUAGUGUUUUGGUACAAGGAGAAACCAGAGACCCCCUGUCCUCUGAAUCUCUCUCAUGAACCUAGGCUCAGACCUCUAACCGAGCAGCAUUCCCGGGCCCUGUGGAAAGUGUUUGCACCCCAAACCCGUGCUCGGCGGUGGGAGCUGUGCAGGGUGCGUGUCCCCGGGGACACGCUGUGCUCCCAGCCCCGCAGCUGCUCGCCAGAAAUGCCAGCCUGCCCCCGCAGACAAAGGCUGCCUUUUGCUGAGCGUUGUGCAAAGCAGAGCUGUGGCGGCUUGCGCAGCUUUUAGCUCUCUGACCUUUGUUUAAAUGAAACGCGGAGUAAUUUGUAUCUGAGAGGAGUUGUUCUGUCUCAUUAACGUGAUUAAAUAGAUGGCAGGGCGUCACUAAGUUCAUUGCCAGAGAGACUGUCGCUUAGUAAUUUCAACCGCAGCGAUCCCAUUAUUCAGCCUUUUUC
Molecule: non-coding RNA, 1198 nt
Organism: Anas platyrhynchos (mallard)
Lineage: Eukaryota; Metazoa; Chordata; Aves; Anseriformes; Anatidae
Source: RefSeq, a predicted model, not a curated record